Molecule: ribosomal RNA, 446 nt
Filed under: uncultured bacterium
Lineage: Bacteria
Description: partial 16S ribosomal RNA
Rfam family: Bacterial small subunit ribosomal RNA
Source: RNAcentral
CCUACGGGAGGCAGCAGUCGAGAAUCAUUCACAAUGGGGGAAACCCUGAUGGUGCGACGCCGCGUGGGGGAAUGAAGGUCUUCGGAUUGUAAACCCCUGUCAUGUGGGAGCAAAUUAAAAAGAUAGUACCACAAGAGGAAGAGACGGCUAACUCUGUGCCAGCAGCCGCGGUAAUACAGAGGGCGCAAGCGUUGUUCGGAAUCACUGGGCGUAAAGCGGGCGUAGGCUGUUUCGUAAGUCGUGUGUGAAAGGCGCGGGCCCAACCCGCGGACGGCCCAUGAUACUGCGAGACUAGAGUAAUGGAGGGGGAAGCGGAAUUCUCGGUGUAGCAGUGAAAUGCGUAGAUAUCGGGAGGAACACUCGUGGCGAAGGCGGGUUCCUGGACAUUGACUGACGCUGAGGCACGAAGGCCAGGGGAGCGAAAGGGAUUAGAUACCCUGGUAGUC